AUGCAAAAAGGAAAAAGGGGAUGGAUGAGAGAGCGGGGCGAGUCUCCCGAUCCCCUCUUCCAGUGGAAUUCUUUACAGGCAAUAGAAGAGACGAUAAGGGAAGAACAAGCAAAGAUAGAGAAGGAAAUCUCCAUCGAUUUACAAAAGGACAAAGGUACCGUCAAUUCUUCAAUUUGCUUUGCCCUGGAUCAAGCGGCAACUGCCGCUACCCUUUGUCAACAUCGCCAAUGGCGCCCGCGUCCAAGCGCCUCGGAUGUUCUUCCUAACAAGGUCCCGGCCGUCGGCUUGGUUCUCAAAAGCGACGGCCCGGUUGCGCCUCGACCCCGCGCGAACCCGCCGCGACAAUAG
RNAcentral lists this ribosomal RNA (348 nucleotides) under Triticum aestivum (bread wheat). RNAcentral's name for it is "partial small subunit ribosomal RNA". The record is from RNAcentral. Lineage: Eukaryota; Viridiplantae; Streptophyta; Magnoliopsida; Poales; Poaceae.